This 67-nucleotide transfer RNA is filed under the name Marmota monax (woodchuck). RNAcentral's name for it is "tRNA.Ala". It matches the Rfam family "tRNA", at positions 6 to 65 of the family's 71-position model. From Rfam's summary of the family: Transfer RNA (tRNA) molecules are approximately 80 nucleotides in length. Their secondary structure includes four short double-helical elements and three loops (D, anti-codon, and T loops). Lineage: Eukaryota; Metazoa; Chordata; Mammalia; Rodentia; Sciuridae. The record is from RNAcentral.
GAUUGCAGCUCAGUGGUAGAGCACUUGCCUAGCAUGUGUGAAGCACUGGGUUCAAACCCCAGCACCA